CUGGCAUAAACUGGAGUAGAGACUGUUUUGGACACUGGGAUGUUUUAUAAUGUGGGGAUUUAGUGGGGGUGUGGUGGAAAGAAUCCGUGACAAAGGGUCAGGAGAAGCAGUUGGAAAUUUGAUUUUUCACUGAUGAUGCAUCUUGGAUAAAUGACAACUCAGCAGGAGUUAUUUGAGUUGGCCAGAGUUCAGCAGGCUUUUGACCUCCAGUGUUCUACGGAUUGACUGAAUGAAAAAUACCGUGGCGAACCAUGAGAAAUAACGAAAAGCCCUACAUACCCACCACCAUUCUGCAGCAAAACGGAGGGGUUUGGAACGACUGGAAAUACUUCCACCCCAGGAAUUUCCAGGACAUCUGAUUUUCUUUUGGCUUGACAUAGCCUCUUGGCUGCCGAGCUCCAUCCAGAUCCCAGCAGCCACC
This 421-nucleotide long non-coding RNA is filed under the name Felis catus (domestic cat). RNAcentral's name for it is "lncRNA (ENSFCAG00000050910.1)". Lineage: Eukaryota; Metazoa; Chordata; Mammalia; Carnivora; Felidae. The record is from RNAcentral.